RNAcentral lists this small nucleolar RNA (106 nucleotides) under Octodon degus (degu). RNAcentral's name for it is "Small nucleolar RNA SNORA24 (ENSODEG00000024253.1)". It matches the Rfam family "Small nucleolar RNA SNORA24". Rfam says of the family: ACA24 is a member of the H/ACA class of snoRNA that guide the sites of modification of uridines to pseudouridines. Lineage: Eukaryota; Metazoa; Chordata; Mammalia; Rodentia; Octodontidae. The record is from RNAcentral.
CUUGGAUCUUUGGAACUUGUCCACCAACUGCAGCACAUUUUUGUUUAUUGGCAAAACUGUUGACCAGCGAAUUGGUGUCAGAUUCUGACUUGCACAAGUACCAUUC